Molecule: ribosomal RNA, 406 nt
Filed under: uncultured bacterium
Lineage: Bacteria
Description: partial 16S ribosomal RNA
Rfam family: Bacterial small subunit ribosomal RNA
Source: RNAcentral
AUUGAACGCUGGCGGCAGGCCUAACACAUGCAAGUCGAACGAGUGGCGGACGGGUGAGUAAUGUCUGGGAAACUGCCCGAUGGAGGGGGAUAACUACUGGAAACGGUAGCUAAUACCGCAUACCAUCAGAUGUGCCCAGAUGGGAUUGGCUAGUUGGUGGGGUAACGGCUCACCAAGGCGACGAUCCCUAGCUGGUUUGAGAGGAUGACCAGCCACACUGGAACUGAGACACGGCCCAGACUCCUACGGGAGGCAGCAGUGGGGAAUUUUGCACAAUGGGCGAAAGCCUGAUGCAGCCAUGCCGCGUGUAUGAUGAAGGCCUUCGGGUUGUAAAGUACUUUCAGCAGGGAGGCGGUACCUGCAGAAUAAGCACCGGCUAACUCCGUGCCAGCAGCCGCGGUAAUAC